RNAcentral lists this ribosomal RNA (506 nucleotides) under uncultured bacterium. Its description in RNAcentral is "partial 16S ribosomal RNA". It matches the Rfam family "Bacterial small subunit ribosomal RNA", at positions 29 to 523 of the family's 1533-position model. The record is from RNAcentral.
AGUGAACGCUGGCGGUAGGCCUAACACAUGCAAGUCGAACGGCAGCACAGAGGAGCUUGCUCCUUGGGUGGCGAGUGGCGGACGGGUGAGGAAUACAUCGGAAUCUACUCUGUCGUGGGGGAUAACGUAGGGAAACUUACGCUAAUACCGCAUACGACCUACGGGUGAAAGCAGGGGACCUUCGGGCCUUGCGCGAUUGAAUGAGCCGAUGUCGGAUUAGCUAGUUGGCGGGGUAAAGGCCCACCAAGGCGACGAUACGUAGCUUGUCUGAGAGGAUGAUCAGCCACACUGGACCUGAGACACGGUCCAGACUCCUACGGGAGGCAGCAGUGGGGAAUAUUGGACAAUGGGCGCAAGCCUGAUCCAGCCAUACCGCGUGGGUGAAGAAGGCCUUCGGGUUGUAAAGCCCUUUUGUUGGGAAAGAAAUCCAGCUGGCUAAUACCCGGUUGGGAUGACGGUACCCAAAGAAUAAGCACCGGCUAACUUCGUGCCAGCAGCCGCGGUAA